Molecule: non-coding RNA, 42 nt
Filed under: Trypanosoma brucei brucei
Lineage: Eukaryota; Euglenozoa; Kinetoplastea; Trypanosomatida; Trypanosomatidae
Source: RNAcentral
AACUAACGGUGUACGGAUCUGAGAGUAACAUUGAUAUUAUUA